This 468-nucleotide ribosomal RNA is filed under the name uncultured bacterium. Its description in RNAcentral is "partial 16S ribosomal RNA". It matches the Rfam family "Bacterial small subunit ribosomal RNA", at positions 28 to 507 of the family's 1533-position model. The record is from RNAcentral.
GACGAACGCUGGCGGCGUGCUUAACACAUGCAAGUCGAACGGAAAGGCCCUGCUUUUGUGGGGUGCUCGAGUGGCGAACGGGUGAGUAACACGUGAGUAACCUGCCCUUGACUUUGGGAUAACUUCAGGAAACUGGGGCUAAUACCGGAUAGGAGCUCCUGCUGCAUGGUGGGGGUUGGAAAGUUUCGGCGGUUGGGGAUGGACUCGCGGCUUAUCCGCUUGUUUGUGGGGUAGUGGCUUACCAAGGCUUUGACGGGUAGCCGGCCUGAGCGGGUGACCGGCCACAUUGGGACUGAGAUACGGCCCAGACUCCAACGGGAGGCAGCAGUGGGGAAUAUUGCACAAUGGGCGGAAGCCUGAUGCAGCAACGCCGCGUGCGGGAUGACGGCCUUCGGGUUGUAAACCGCUUUCGCCUGUGACGAAGCGUGAGUGACGGUAAUGGGUAAAGAAGCACCGGCUAACUACGUG